Molecule: long non-coding RNA, 1031 nt
Organism: Gopherus flavomarginatus (Mexican gopher tortoise)
Lineage: Eukaryota; Metazoa; Chordata; Testudines; Testudinidae
Exons: 5
Source: RefSeq, a predicted model, not a curated record
CUUUGGGCUUGUCUACAUCAGAAAGUUGCAGCGCUGGUGAGGGAGUUACAGCGCUGCAACUUUGAAGGUGUACACAUCUGCAGGGCACCACCAGCGCUGCAACUCCCUGUUUGCAGCGCUGGCCGUACUCCCGUUUUGUCUCGGGUGUAGAGGAUCCAGCGCUCGUGAUCCAGCGCUGGUAAUCCAAUGUAGACACUUACCAGCGCUUUUCUUGACCUCCGUGGAAGGAGGAAGCCUCUGGUAAUCAAGCUGGUCUCCUUUCCCGGUUUGCUCUCUCGUUCCCGGAGCCCCGAGCAAGCAGGUCUCCUUCCCUGCGGUUUGCUGGGUGGCUCCGGGAACGAGAGAGCAAACCGCGGCGAAGCGGGUCUCCUUUCCCGGUUUGCUCUCUCGUUCCCGGAGCCCCGAGCAAGCAGGUCUCCUUCCCUGCGGUUUGCUGGGUGGCUCCGGGAACGCGAGAGCAAACCGCGGCGAAGCGGGUCUCCUUUCCCGGUUUGCUCUCUCGUUCCCGGAGCCCCGAGCAAGCAGGUCUCCUUCCCUGCGGUUUGCUGGGUGGCUCCGGGAACGCGAGAGCAAACCGCGGCGAAGCGGGUCUCCUUUCCCGGUUUGCUCUCUCGUUCCCGGAGCCCCGAGCAAGCAGGUCUCCUUCCCUGCGGUUUGCUGGGUGGCUCCGGGAACGCGAGAGCAAACCGCGGCGAAGCGGGUCUCCUUUCCCGGUUUGCUCUCUCGUUCCCGGAGCCCCGAGCAAGCAGGUCUCCUUCCCUGCGGUUUGCUGGGUGGCUCCGGGAACGCGAGAGCAAACCGCGGCGAAGCGGGUCUCCUUUCCCGGUUUGCUCUCUCGUUCCCGGAGCCCCGAGCAAGCAGGUCUCCUUCCCUGCGGUUUGCUGGGUGGCUCCGGGAACGCGAGAGCAAACCGCGGCGAAGCGGGUCUCCUUUCCCGGUUUGCUCUCUCGUUCCCGGAGCCCCGAGCAAGCAGGUCUCCUUCCCUGCGGUUUGCUGGGUGGCUCCGGGAACGAGAGAGCAAACCGCGGCGA